CCCCUAUCCUUCCGUUUUGAAGAAGGCACUAUUGUUGGAUCAUGGCAUGCAUUAGAUUCACCACCAGCAGCAGCAACCUCUCGUCUGGUGUUAUGCAGGUCAAUCAGAAUCUUGCCCAACAAACGGCGUGCAAUCUGAAGAAAAGGACAUGAGAAACAUCAUAAGUUGCUUCUGCUCAUUCUGAUCAGGGGAAGAUCACAAGCAAAGCUACAGAUGCUGCUGCUGGACCUCCUGACCUGAGAACAUUUGCUUAUGCACCAACAAGAUCUACCACCAGCCGUUUUGAUCAGAGUGAAAACACGCGCAAAGCUAUGUGCACUGCGGACAGCCCUCCUGAUAUUAGCACAUUCGAAUAUAAACCCAUGAAAAGCGCCGUCAGACGUUCAGAUGGGAGCAAGUUUUCAGGUGCAGCACUAAAAGCAGCUAGACGAACCUCUCGGAGCUGAUUCUCACAAAAUUGUGGAUGCACCUGCCAGCUUCCUUAUCUGAGCAUGUUUGGAUUUGCGUAUGCCUUCUGUCUGCGUUCAUGAUCUGAGUUCAACAGAAUCAUCCAGCAACAAAUGCUCUCAAUAAAAGUGCAUUCCAUUUUGCCCAAAGUGCAAGCACGGCUGAGGUAGCUGCCAUUCACUACUACUAGCUGCAGGGCUUAUCAGUUCAGACUUCAGAGCUCAUCCGUAUCUGCGCAAUCAGAAGCACACAUGUUCUGAAGGGAAGUGCUUUAUCUUCUCGGUUUCCAGAGCCAAUUAUGUGGCAUUUUGCGAGCCAAAUGUAUGUGCUCGUUUUUGCCUUGUCCAAUGAGGUUCUUGUAUGAACAGCAGUCGAAUUUGCGAUGCUAUUUAAGCCGCAAAUGAGGAUACUGUUGUAUUGUUCCUUUUUGAGAAGAUACUGCUGUAUGUUCAUUCUUAUACAAGUGUGAGCAUUCCUUCAGAAUUCAGAUAGCAUUACUCUUGUCAACUAUUGAUCAAGAUGUUGGAAAGACUUUGAAACCGGCUGUUUAAGCACUUGCCAGCAUUCUACCAGUCUUUCUGAAAGAUUAUAAUAAGAGUAAAUUGCAUAUUGGGAACAAAUUUUUAUCUAGUUUGCAGAUUUUCACUUUAAACCGGCAAACUUCACAAUAGUUGCAAAAUGGACCGGUGUUCUUUUCCAAUCUAAAAUUCCAGUGGCUAGUCUUAAAAUAACGGUGGCCAAACUCUGGGAUUACAACCGAAAUGAAGCUAAUGCAAACAUGGAAUGAAAAAAAAAACGAUACUAUAUAGUUUUCAAAGUAUUCCCUCCGUCCCAUAAUAUAAGGGAUUUUGAGUUUUUGUUUGCUUUGAUGACUCGUCUUAUUUAAAAAUGUUUGGAAUUAUUAUUUAUUUUUUUUGACUUACUUUAUUAUUCAAAGUAUUUUAAACACGAAUUUUUUUGGAAAUAAUACGAUUUUAAUGAAAAAUUGUAAAAAUAUAGGUCGAUUAGGCGAAAUCGCAUGUUUAGCACCCUGUCGAACAACCGUGGUUCGACAGCCAUCUGUCGAACUGGGUAGUUGGUCUAAAAAAAUAUAAAAAAGUACGGCUACAGGAAUCAGCAGGAACAUGUCGAACUGACAAAGUUAGAUAGGGUCACGUGAACAGUCAGAAAUCAGCAGGAACAUGUCGAACUGACAAAGUUAGAUAGGGUCACGUGAACAGUGCCGCUACAGGACAUAUCGAACUUUCAAAGUUCGACAGGUUGCGGCUACAGGUGGCUGUCGAACUACGGUUGUUCGACAGAUACCUCUGUCGAACCACGGUUGUUCGACAGGGUGCUAAACAUGCGAUUUCGCCUAACCGAUCUAUAUUUUUGCGAUUUUUCAUUAAAAUCGUAUUAUUUUCAAAAAAAAUUUCCUUUAAGCACAACUUUUCGUUUUUUAUAUUUGCAUAAAUUUUUUUAAUAAGACAGGUGGUCGUAAGCAAAAGCUCAAAAUCCCUUAUAUUAUGGGACGGAGGGAGUAAUUAAUAUUCAAUUUCUUACUUAUCCAUUGAAAUAUACUCCAUAUAACAAUUGAAGAUACUGCACGAAUCUCCGCGCAAUCAGCCGUGCAGAUUCCCCUACUAUCCCGGCCAGGGAGUACACUUCGGUGGACAUCAUCAUGACCCGUCACCGCAGAGGCAAGCGCGGGCGCGCGAGCCCCGACCCUCCGGCGAAGCGCCGCCGCCGCGGCCGCGGCCACGGCCACGGCCCUGGCCCGCCGGAGUUAGAGGCCGACGAGCUGGAGGCUCCUCCGGCGCCGGUACAGGCUCCAUCGGCGGCGGCGGCGGCGGCUUCGGAGCCGUUGCUAGUGAUGGUCGCGGGGCUGCCGCCCGGGUGCGGCGUGAUGGAGCUCAAGUCGCGGCUCGGGGCGUACGGCCCCAUCGCGCGCACCCGCAUAGACGCCGCCUCGGCCACCGGGUACGUCACCUUCCGCUCCGCCGCGGCCGCCAUGGCCGCCAUUGCUGCCUCCCUCGACCCCGACGGUGGCGUCACCGUCGGAUCCAAGAAGGUAAGGAGAUCUGCGUGCUGCAGUUGGAUGAGCUCGAUUUCAACUUGCUGUGCGUGUAGAGGAAUGCAGUACAGCCUGUACAGGGUCAAGCUUUGCUGAGAAUUGUUUGAAGGCGCUGCUAGAUUUGAGAAUUUUAUAGAUUGGCAUCACAUCCGGCCUUUUAUCUCGACUUUAAAGUUCUGAUGGAUGAUGGAUUAUGGAUCAAACAGAGUUUAUGAAAAUUAUUUGAGGGCACAGACGAGAGAAUUUAGUAUUAGAAAGUUGAAAGGUUGACUUUAAAAAGUUCUCUAAGAAAUGCCGAUGAAGAAAGUUUAUGCAAAAAUCAUACCGUUUGGGAGUUUGGGAAGUGCGCCCGCAAUAAUCAAAAAUCCGUGAGAGGAAAAGAAUGCUUUUUUUAAUUAUUUUUCAUCUCAUUUUAUACUCUGCAUUUGCUGUUUCAUUCUAGCAUUUUGGAUUUAAUUAAUGUGCUAGUUAUUCAAUUAACUUACACAUUUGCUGGGCUCUACAAAACCUACUCAAUUCCGUGAUGAACUGGCUACCUUAAAUUCAGUCCAAGGUUACAGUCAACCAUUUUAUCUGGUACAAGUCUAUAAGAUAGUAAAUUAUAUUCAAUAUUGAUCUUGUUUACAUCCAGACUGUGCUGGUAUCUUCGCUGUCACAAUUUGUUCAUGUUAACGGUCGUUUAAAACCAAGUAGAAUACAGAUUUAGUUUAGAAAAAAUAAACAAUAAACUUAUUUUGCACUUUAUUUUAGUCGAAAUGCAUCUGCACUUUGGUUGUGCAGCAGGCACAAAAUAAACAGAACAAAAUUUCUAACAGAUUCAGGGGAAGCUAUAGCAUGCUACACAUGUUUUGAGCCAUUUGGUACUCUUGCUCUUCGAUACUCAGAUUGCUGGUUCUUUCAUGGGUUGCAGGUUUUAGUUGUACAGGCAAGCGAGGCGCCGAAUGACUUGAGAAGUACAGCUCAAGCCAACCCAGUGGGGGAGAAUACGCAUGAUGCGACGAAGAGGAAUGCAAGCGAAUCUUCAGCGUUCUCGAGCACGAAAGCGGCUCCAGAAGGAACCUACAAAGCUAGAGAAAUAGUCGCCUACGAUGAUCUGUUCUGAACUUCUAAUAACCAGCCUUCUUUAGGGAGGAGGUGAGACAACCAUUCAGGUUUGUUCUUGUACACUGCUAGGGUCUUUAGGUGAGUAAGCUAUGGGUAUUUUUUAGUGUGUGAAGGUACCUUCAGAUGGGUAGGUGUUUCUUGUAUUCAGCAUGUAUUGUGGAAGUUAUCAUCAAAACAUGAGAAUUUAUGUAUGUUAGAUUGUUAAUAUUGACAGUGCCUUACCAUCUUCUCAAAAUUUCUAUUCAAGUGCAUUCGACUAUUAUUCGUGGCUACUUUGAAAACAUUUGAAAAAGAUUUAGCAAAAAAAAAAAGAUCAAAAGUGUUUUGAUCGAUUCAAUAUUUGACACCGUUUCAUAAAAGGCAGAAGAACCGUCUGAUCAAAGAGGUGAAAAAAAAGGAAUCUGGGAGUUGUGCUUCGUAUCACAUCAGUCUAUACCAGUAAAAAUAGAGCAAAAGUAAAUCGAAUAUAUCACACUGGCAUGUCACAAAUAUACAAGGUAUUAUUCCGGGAAUGUUCAGCGAGUACUUUUUGUUAAACAUGUUCGAUUAAAACGCUCCAACCUGUAAAGCUCUAAAAAUAACGCUCUUAGCAAACGCCUAAAGUAGCAGAAUUUUCUAGUGAAAUUAUUCUGAAGACGGAAACACUAUAAUUUUAAAGGCACAUAAUAUGACCACCUUGUAUAUAUACGGAAAAUUUUAUCCAGAUACACGUGUAACCUAUUAUUUACGCAAUUACACUGUCUGCAAAACAGCUCUAUCAGGUUACAUUCUCAGAACUGACAAAAUUGUUCCAGCUGCAUGAUCUUCAGUGCUUGGCACUCAUGCAGCAUUUUGCAGACUCACUAUUAACCUCUCUUCAAGGCAAGUGCUUUAUCAACAUUCUAUUGGUAAACCAUUUACCUGAGACUUUUGUUAACAGAAAUAUCAAACCAUGUCUGACUUAUCUUGCUGGCCUGCGUGUUGAACAUGCUAUUCUUGAAGCUUUUUUGUCUUCCUUUUUGGCAUACCACUCACCAUGUCUGACUUAUCUUGCUGUCAAAUUUCAAAAAGGAAAAUAUGUAGUUAAUAUAACAGGAGGAGGUAAUAAAAUAAGAAAUUUUAGGUCAUUAUCGCCAAAGGUUAAAAAGAUAUAGCCAAAUCAAUCAUGUAUACAAAGAGGAAAAGGCUGUACAGUGACAUCUGACUGGUUUGUUGAUGAUUAUUCAUAGCAUUGUGUCAAUAUGACUAGUUAAGCUGAUUGUUCCCAGACGUAAGCAGUCUUCUAAUGAUUUCUGAUUGAUUGCAGAAGCAGACAGCCUCAUAACGCUAUCUGAUUAAUGGAGUAUCCAUUGGCACUAGUCAAUUUUUAAUUCAUUAGCGUUAUAUACUCGUGCAGUGACGAUAGUUCCAGCAUUGAUCCCCUCUCUUAGCUGGUUCAUACAAUGUUGUGACAUUUCUUAAACCUUCAGGCUCACUCUGUGGUAUAAGAUUGGAGAAGAAUGUUUUGGUGGUAUUUUUUGGCACUGACAAAACAUUGGAAGUAUUAGAUGCUAUUUUCUCUAAAAUAGAAGGGCAGAAUCAUUCUAUGAUAAAGAACAGGAUAGGGUACCAAUCUUGCGCCUUGCAAUCCAUUAUCCUUGCAGAAACGGACUGCCAAAGAUUGAGAAGGGGCAGCUGGGGGGAAAUCUUCAGCUGGCAUUGCAAAUGGACGAACCAUUUUAUCAAAUUUGUCCAAGGUGAGAUAUGAUCCAACUUCCUGCAAUCUUUCUGGCUCCAUAAUUUUCAUAGUGUGAUCAUCAGGUAGCAAUGAAUCUUUUCCAUGUUCGCUCUGUAUGGAUACAUUUUUCAAGAACUGUUGAGUUAAUAACCAGAAAUGUUGAAAACAAACAUCUUACAUUUCAUUUGAAGGGGACCAAACUCACCUGUAAGGAACUUAUAUCUGCACCACGACUAUAUGUCAUUUCUAUGCGAAACCUUUUUGGGUCUUCCAAAGAAACCUGCAAUAGUUGUCCAAUGACAAGAUCAAUAUCACUUCUCACCGGUAGUAUUAGUAAAGUAAAAGCUUAUGAUUACACUAUAAUUUUUUAAUACCUCUGUAUUCUCGAACAUACGCAAUACAAUGUAACUCAUGUAGUCAAGUUCCCUUGUUUUAAACAGAUUAUCUAGAGCAUUUUUGCAAACAAGACUUUCUUCUCCAUCCAUAGAUUCAUCAAAAUUGCAGUAUCGAAGUACAUUCAUUAGAGAAUGUAUAUGUGAUUCCUGACAACAAAAUAAUCCUUAGUCAUUCUUAUCAGGGAGAAGAAAACAAAAACAAAGAAUUUCAGUUAAAAAAAAACUCCAAAGAAAUGUCAUAUAGGAAAUUGUCGUUUCCAUGAUGAUGUAUGCUUUUUAGAGCCUUAGUUUUUAGGGUUUUUUUUUUUUGAAAUUUCUGUAUACUUCUAUAGUUAUAUUGAUAUAUUACCAUAAAUCAAGAAAGCAUAAACUUAACAAUUUGCAAGGGGAAUAUGAAAACUCAAUGUAAUUUGUCUUACUGAUGUAAAAUAGAGCCUUGUUCGAACACGUCGUUCAGGUUCCAUCACAUUGGCAUAUCUACAACAAAAUUAUUUGAAUAUCAAUUGUAUUCUUCAUAGUCAAGAUUCCUAACUGGAAUUUCGUACUUACUUUGGAUCCAAGCAGUAUUUGGUUUCUUUGUGCGAAUCAUCAAGAUCAAUUGACUUCUUGUUUGAGUUAGGUCUAUCAAAACCCUCAUUCUUAACAUCCCCAUAGUAACCCCUAUCCUUCCGUUUUGAAGAAGGCACUAUUGUUGGAUCAUGGCAUGCAUUAGAUUCACCACCAGCAGCAGCAACCUCUCGUCUGGUGUUAUGCAGGUCAAUCAGAAUCUUGCCCAACAAACGGCGUGCAAUCUGAAGAAAAGGACAUGAGAAACAUCAUAAGUUGCUUGUGACUAAAAAACAAAACAGUGCCAAAUAAAAGGGCUAGCCUCUAGGAGAAAAUUGGGUACUACAUAUUUUCUGCAACAAAUUCCUUUAGCAUCCUUCAUUUCUAGAAACAAAAUCUCAUUUAUGUUAGUUUUUCGGAUAAACACUACAUAAUGAAAACAAUGAAUAUACAGGACGCAACUCAUAACAGUUUCUUUUCCAGUUUUCAAAUAUAUUUACACACCAGUACCUUU
Molecule: long non-coding RNA, 6755 nt
Filed under: Oryza sativa (Asian cultivated rice)
Lineage: Eukaryota; Viridiplantae; Streptophyta; Magnoliopsida; Poales; Poaceae
Description: long non-coding RNA (OSAT_LNC001543)
Source: RNAcentral